GACGAACGCUGGCGGCGUGCUUAACACAUGCAAGUCGAACGGAAAGGCCUGCUUUCCCUUGUGGAUUGCGGGUACUCGAGUGGCGAACGGGUGAGUAACACGUGAGUGAUCUGCCCCCAACUUUGGUAUAAGCCUGGGAAACUGGGUCUAAUUCCCGAUAGGACUGCAGGGUGGUGCCUGUGGUGGAAAACGAUUUUCUAGUGGUUGGGGAUGAGCUCGCGGCCUAUCAGCUUGUUGGUGGGGUAAUGGCCUACCAAGGCGGCGACGGGUAGCCGGGCUGAGAGGGUGGACGGCCACAUUGGGACUGAGAUACGGGCCCGACUCCUACGGGAGGCAGCAGUGGGGAAUAUUGCACAAUGGGCGGAAGCCUGAUGCAGCGACGCCGAGUGGGGGAUGACGGCCUUCGGGUUGUAAACUCCUUUCGACAGCGAGGAAGCCACCUGGUUGGAAGGGUGGUGACGGUAGUGGUAGAAGAAGCACCGGCUAACUACGUG
This 494-nucleotide ribosomal RNA is filed under the name uncultured bacterium. RNAcentral's name for it is "partial 16S ribosomal RNA". It matches the Rfam family "Bacterial small subunit ribosomal RNA", at positions 28 to 507 of the family's 1533-position model. The record is from RNAcentral.